Molecule: ribosomal RNA, 492 nt
Filed under: uncultured bacterium
Lineage: Bacteria
Description: partial 16S ribosomal RNA
Rfam family: Bacterial small subunit ribosomal RNA
Source: RNAcentral
AGUGAACGCUGGCGGUAGGCCUAACACAUGCAAGUCGAACGGCAGCACAGUAAGAGCUCGCUCUUACGGGUGGCGAGUGGCGGACGAGUGAGGAAUACAUCGGAAUCUACUUUUUCGUGGGGGAUAACGUAGGGAAACUUACGCUAAUACCGCAUACGACCUACGGGUGAAAGCAGGGGAUCUUCGGACCUUGCGCGAUUGAAUGAGCCGAUGUCGGAUUAGCUAGUUGGCGGGGUAAAGGCCCACCAAGGCGACGAUCCGUAGCUGGUCUGAGAGGAUGAUCAGCCACACUGGAACUGAGACACGGUCCAGACUCCUACGGGAGGCAGCAGUGGGGAAUAUUGGACAAUGGGCGCAAGCCUGAUCCAGCCAUACCGCGUGGGUGAAGAAGGCCUUCGGGUUGUAAAGCCCUUUUGUUGGGAAAGAAAAGCAGCAGGUUAAUACCCCGCUGUUCUGACGGUACCCAAAGAAUAAGCACCGGCUAACUUCGUG